AUGAUGGCGCGAUAUUGUUCGGCAUCGACGUCCGCUUCGUGCGCAGCUGCCGGCGUCGACGACGGCGAGCCCCGUCUGCCGGUGGUGUCCCUGGCCCAUCUGCUGCAGGGGCCUGACGCGGCGCCGCCGGAGUACCUGACGCUGUCGCUCACGCCCGCCGGGGAAGCAUGGCCGCGGCGGGAACAACCCGGGGAGGUGACGCUGAACCAUAUAAACGCGCCGCGUGACUACCUAAAGCUCUCCGUCGCGCCACCGGAUGAAGAUGAACCAAGCACCGUCGCUGGCGGCUCCCUCGUCGCCUCGGUUGCCUCCAGCGGCGCGUCGGAAACGACGCUGCCACCCAAGAAGCGAAAGCUAGCAGCUCGUGUUUACCAAGAAGCAUCGCUGGCGAUAGUGAUCCACGGAGACAACAAGGUCACGGAAUCCUCUAGGACACACGGCGGCGACGCCGAGAAGCGUUCCCCGGCAGCAAUGACCGGCCAACCCAUCGACGCCGUCCCUCUGCGGGCGGUGUACCGCGGCCAUGCCGGAAUAGUCUCGCACCUGUCAAGGCUGAGCCACGGCGUCAAAGAGAUCACAACGAACGAUGUCGCGUCCACCUCAGGCAGCGCCGCGGCGGCACCGUUCUCCAUUGAGCCCAUUGAUGCCGUUCCGCUACGGGCGGCGCCGAGCCCGCACAUCCCUCACGCCGCCGGCGCAGCCCCGAUGGAGCUGGCCUGGAUACGCACGGCGCUGGGUCUCCAGCCAGGCCACGCGCUCUACUUCAUCGCCCAGAAGCGCGUCGAGUGCUCGGACCUCGAAGCGCAGCAGAGCCGCUUCAGGAUACCGAGCGCCGCCAUCGACCGUCUCCGCCCGCUCCUCUCCGACGAGGGGCGUCACGCCGCCAACCUAGACAGUCUCAAGCCCCGGGAGAAGCCGAAACCGCAGGCGUCCGGCAACGGGAAGGCGCAGGGGAGGAAGCACGGCGGGCUGGUCGUGCCGCUCUACAUCAACCGUGCCGGCGACCGGAUGAACGCUCGGCUGACACGAUGGGAUUCGAACGAGUACACGGUGCUGAAAUACGGAAACAGCCAGAGUUUCGUCCGCGGGAGUAGCCUCAAAGUGAUGGACAGAAUCCAGAUAUGGGCGUUCCUGAACCCUGGCCUGCAUUUGGUGAUCCACAAGAUCGACGGCGGGGAGACGACGGCGGCGCCAUCGGCAUCAGCAGGAGGGCAGCAGUCAGCAGAGCAAGCCCCACCUGGUAUAGUGUAG
RNAcentral lists this ribosomal RNA (1251 nucleotides) under Triticum aestivum (bread wheat). Its description in RNAcentral is "partial small subunit ribosomal RNA". The record is from RNAcentral. Lineage: Eukaryota; Viridiplantae; Streptophyta; Magnoliopsida; Poales; Poaceae.